GAACCCGUGGCUCAAUGGUAGAGCGUUUGACACAGUUACCAAAUUUUGCGGGUUCGAAUCCCAUGUGUUCC
This 71-nucleotide transfer RNA is filed under the name Schistocephalus solidus. It matches the Rfam family "tRNA". From Rfam's summary of the family: Transfer RNA (tRNA) molecules are approximately 80 nucleotides in length. Lineage: Eukaryota; Metazoa; Platyhelminthes; Cestoda; Diphyllobothriidea; Diphyllobothriidae. The record is from Rfam by way of RNAcentral.